RNAcentral lists this long non-coding RNA (267 nucleotides) under Gossypium raimondii (Peruvian cotton). RNAcentral's name for it is "long non-coding RNA (GRAI_LNC006751)". Lineage: Eukaryota; Viridiplantae; Streptophyta; Magnoliopsida; Malvales; Malvaceae. The record is from RNAcentral.
GCAAGGGCAUGCGGCACUGAAGGCUCCUGCUAGGUUUUUUGCUGCAAAAAUUUUUAGUUUUAUGGGUUGUUUGGGCUUUAGGGUUUGUAAUUUUUUGGGUUAUCUGUUAUUGGGCCCCGGGCAGAUUUUGGGUUUUACAAUUACUUUUCUAUUAUUUUUUAUAAAAUAAAAAUACAGAAUGACAUCAAAUUAAAUUGAACAAAAGUAUUAUUAGUUUUAUCUUGUUGAACAAGCUCUAAAACUUCAUUCGGGGCACCAUCAUAAUUC